GAAAUGCGAUAAGUAAUGUGAAUUGCAGAAUUCCGUGAAUCAUCGAAUCUUUGAACGCACAUUGCGCCCGGUGGCAUUCCGCCGGGCACGCCUGUCCGAGCGUCAUUGCAACAAUCAAGCCCGGCUUGGUGUUGGGGGCCCGUCGUGCCCGGCACGACCCCCCCGGAACCCGUUGGCGGUGGCCCUCGGCCCCGAUCGUCGCGCAUGUUACGACGGGGCGGAGGGCCGCCCGCCGGACCCCCACGACGCGAAGUUUGACCUCGGAUCAGGCGGGGAUACCCGCUGAACUUAA
This 292-nucleotide unclassified non-coding RNA is filed under the name uncultured Ascomycota. RNAcentral describes it as "sequence contains ITS1". The stretch from base 1 to 105 matches the Rfam family "5.8S ribosomal RNA", at positions 50 to 154 of the family's 154-position model. Lineage: Eukaryota; Fungi; Ascomycota. The record is from RNAcentral.